Small nucleolar RNA from Ipomoea nil (Japanese morning glory), 107 nucleotides. It matches the Rfam family "Plant small nucleolar RNA R71". From Rfam's summary of the family: R71 is a member of the C/D box family of snoRNAs containing the C (UGAUGA) and D (CUGA) box motifs. Multiple nearly identical copies of this snoRNA have been identified in Arabidopsis, and it is thought to function as a 2'-O-ribose methylation guide for 18S ribosomal RNA. Lineage: Eukaryota; Viridiplantae; Streptophyta; Magnoliopsida; Solanales; Convolvulaceae. The record is from Rfam.
AUACCAUGGUGUGGGCAUUGUCUUCGUAAUUCCUUGAAUCUCUCACAUGACUCGGCUAAAGACUCACCAACUAUUUGUUUGAAAUUCUGAAUCGCACGCCUCAUUCU